GAUGAACGCUGGCGGCGUGCCUAAUACAUGCAAGUCGAGCGAACGGACGAGAAGCUUGCUUCUCUGAUGUUAGCGGCGGACGGGUGAGUAACACGUGGAUAACCUACCUAUAAGACUGGGAUAACUUCGGGAAACCGGAGCUAAUACCGGAUGAUAUUUUGAACCGCAUGGUUCAAAAGUGAAAGACGGUCUUGCUGUCACUUAUAGAUGGAUCCGCGCUGCAUUAGCUAGUUGGUAAGGUAACGGCUUAGCAAGGCAACGAUGCAUAGCCGACCUGAGAGGGUGAUCGGCCACACUGGAACUGAGACACGGUCCAGACUCCUACGGGAGGCAGCAGUAGGGAAUCUUCCGCAAUGGGCGAAAGCCUGACGGAGCAACGCCGCGUGAGUGAUGAAGGUCUUCGGAUCGUAAAACUCUGUUAUUAGGGAAGAACAUAUGUGUAAGUAACUGUGCACAUCUUGACGGUACCUAAUCAGAAAGCCACGGCUAACUACGUG
This 497-nucleotide ribosomal RNA is filed under the name uncultured bacterium. RNAcentral describes it as "partial 16S ribosomal RNA". It matches the Rfam family "Bacterial small subunit ribosomal RNA", at positions 28 to 507 of the family's 1533-position model. The record is from RNAcentral.